RNAcentral lists this long non-coding RNA (705 nucleotides) under Pan troglodytes (chimpanzee). RNAcentral's name for it is "lincRNA". The record is from RNAcentral. Lineage: Eukaryota; Metazoa; Chordata; Mammalia; Primates; Hominidae.
CCCUCUCCAAGCCAUGAGAUGGAAGAGUGUCCUUAUAUGAAGACUGCUGGAGUUCCAUUGGCUGGAAGUGCCUCAGGCUGUGGCUGGCGUUUGAAGGGCUGCUCCACACAUAUCAAUCAUCCUUUGACAAGAUCUGGAAGAAAAAAAAAACAACAAAAACCACCCCCCAAAAAGGUGAGGUUCCGAGAUGGUAUCUGGAUGAUGAACACAGAGAGAGCUUCCAUUGUUCCUCUUCUCCUUUGUGCAGAGGAAGCCGUUGGCUGUGACUACUGAGAACAGAACGUCCCCUCACAUCCAAUAUGGUAUCAGCCCUGACAUCUCUUAAAUACAGAAAAUAACAAGAGGAAGAAUUCGUCUUCAUGAAUUGCAGAAUUGUCAGUUCUGCAGACAAUUAUCAAAAAUUUUAUAGGAACACCUUGGGAGAUGUCGAAGUGUUUAUUUCAACAGCCCAAAGAAGAGAACCACAAUAUGGACACUCUCUGUCUCCACAAAUCCCCCGAUGCAUGUUUUAUUCAACCUUCCAAUUUUUAGACAAAGAUUCUUGUUAGCCUCAUGAAAGACCUGGAUACUGGGGGAAAGAUGGUAUCAUAUUUUCAAUUAUGAUCAACUCACCUAAUCUGACGGAAGUGGUAAGAAGGAAGCUGGUGUGUAUGCUGAUUGUGAUUUCGAGAAUAAACUCCUACUUCUAAACCACUUACAAAAGUA